Molecule: ribosomal RNA, 995 nt
Filed under: uncultured bacterium
Lineage: Bacteria
Description: bacterial SSU rRNA
Rfam family: Bacterial small subunit ribosomal RNA
Source: RNAcentral
AGAGUUUGAUCCUGGCUCAGAGCGAACGCUGGCGGCGUACUUAACACAUGCAAGUCGUACGAGGAUCGUCGGUGUAGCAAUACAUUGGCGGUUCGAGUGGCGCACGGGUGAGUAACACGUGGGUAACCCACCCUCGAGACCGGGAUACCCUCUCGAAAGGGAGGCUAAUACUGGAUACGUUCCUCGGGACGCACGUUCUGGGGAGGAAAGGUGGCGAAAGCUGCCGCUCUUGGAGGGGCUCGCGGCCUAUCAGCUAGUUGGUGAGGUAACGGCUCACCAAGGCUAUGACGGGUAGCUGGUCUGAGAGGACGACCAGCCACACGGGAACUGAGACACGGUCCCGACUCCUACGGGAGGCAGCAGUGGGGAAUUUUCCGCAAUGGGCGAAAGCCUGACGGAGUGACGCCGCGUGGGGGACGAAGGCCUUCGGGUCGUAAACCCCUGUCAGAGGGAAAGAAGGGUGUCGGCGUGAAUAGCGCCGGCAUCUGACGGUACCUUCAGAGGAAGCCCCGGCCAACUCUGUGCCAGCAGCCGCGGUAAGACAGAGGGGGCAAGCGUUGCUCGGAAUCACUGGGCGUAAAGGGCGCGUAGGCGGGAUGGCAAGUCGGUCGUGAAAUCCUUCGGCUCAACCGAAGAACGUCGGCCGAUACUGCCGUUCUUGAGGGAUGCAGAGGAGAUUGGAUUUCCCGGUGUAGCGGUGAAAUGUGUAGAGAUCGGGAGGAACACCGGUGGCGAAGGCGGGUCUCUGGGCAUCUCCUGACGCUGAGGCGCGAAAGCGUGGGGAGCAAACGGGAUUAGAUACCCCGGUAGUCCACGCUGUAAACGAUGACGACUAGGUGUGGGGGGGGGUUAGUCCCUUCCGUGCCGCAGCUAACGCAUUAAGUCGUCCGCCUGGGGAGUACGGCCGCAAGUUGAAACUCAAAGGAAUUGACGGGGGCCCGCACAAGCGGUGGAGCAUGUGGUUCAAUUCGAUGCAGAGCGAAGAACCUUACCUG